GGGGAUAUAGCUCCAGUGGUAGAGCACCUCUCUAGCAAGAAUGAGAUCCUGAGUUCAAAUCUUAGUACCACUC
RNAcentral lists this transfer RNA (73 nucleotides) under Dipodomys ordii (Ord's kangaroo rat). It matches the Rfam family "tRNA". From Rfam's summary of the family: Transfer RNA (tRNA) molecules are approximately 80 nucleotides in length. Their secondary structure includes four short double-helical elements and three loops (D, anti-codon, and T loops). The record is from Rfam by way of RNAcentral. Lineage: Eukaryota; Metazoa; Chordata; Mammalia; Rodentia; Heteromyidae.